This 1030-nucleotide ribosomal RNA is filed under the name Clostridioides difficile. Its description in RNAcentral is "partial 23S ribosomal RNA". It matches the Rfam family "Bacterial large subunit ribosomal RNA", at positions 1893 to 2925 of the family's 2925-position model. Lineage: Bacteria; Bacillati; Bacillota; Clostridia; Peptostreptococcales; Peptostreptococcaceae. The record is from RNAcentral.
GAGCAAUCGAAGCAGUGAACUUAAGCCCCAGUAAACGGCGGCCGUAACUAUAACGGUCCUAAGGUAGCGAAAUUCCUUGUCGGGUAAGUUCCGACCCGCACGAAAGGCGUAACGAUUUGGGCACUGUCUCAACAACAGACUCGGUGAAAUUGUAAUUCCGGUGAAGAUGCCGGAUACCUGCGACAGGACGGAAAGACCCCAUGGAGCUUUACUGUAGCUUGACAUUGGGUCUUGGUACUACAUGUACAGGAUAGGUGGGAGGCUUUGAAACCAGGACGCCAGUUUUGGCGGAGCCAUCCUUGGGAUACCACCCUUGUAGUACUGGGACUCUAACCAUAGGCCAUGAAUCUGGUCUUGGGACACUGUCAGGUGGGCAGUUUGACUGGGGCGGUCGCCUCCCAAAAGGUAACGGAGGCGCUCAAAGGUUCUCUCAGUACGGUCGGAAAUCGUACGUAGAGUGUAAAGGCAAAAGAGAGCUUGAUUGCAAGACAUACAGGUCGAGCAAGGAUGAAAAUCGGACUUAGUGAUCCGGUGGUUCUGCGUGGAAGGGCCAUCGCUCAACGGAUAAAAGCUACCCUGGGGAUAACAGGCUUAUCUCCCCCAAGAGUCCACAUCGACGGGGAGGUUUGGCACCUCGAUGUCGGCUCAUCACAUCCUGGGGCUGUAGUAGGUCCCAAGGGUUGGGCUGUUCGCCCAUUAAAGUGGUACGCGAGCUGGGUUCAGAACGUCGUGAGACAGUUCGGUCCCUAUCCGUCGCAGGCGUAGGAAAUUUGAGAAGACCUGUCCUUAGUACGAGAGGACCGGGAUGGACGUACCUCUGGUGUACCAGUUGUCCUGCCAAGGGCAUGGCUGGGUAGCUAUGUACGGAAUGGAUAAGCGCUGAAAGCAUCUAAGCGCGAAGCCAACUUCAAGAUAAGAUUUCCCACCGCAAGGGUAAGACCCCAGAAAGACUAUCUGGUUGAUAGGUCGAAGGUGUAAGUGCAGCAAUGUAUUUAGCUUAUCGAUACUAAUAGGUCGAGGACUUGACCAA